Molecule: ribosomal RNA, 495 nt
Filed under: uncultured bacterium
Lineage: Bacteria
Description: bacterial SSU rRNA
Rfam family: Bacterial small subunit ribosomal RNA
Source: RNAcentral
AUUGAACGCUGGCGGCGUGCCUAACACAUGCAAGUCGAGCGGUAACAGGUGUAGCAAUACAUGCUGACGAGCGGCGGACGGGUGAGUAACGCUUGGGAAUCUGCCUAUUAGUGGGGGACAACCCGGGGAAACUCGGGCUAAUACCGCAUACGCUCUACGGAGGAAAGCCGGGGACCGCAAGGCCUGGCGCUAAUAGAUGAGCCCAAGUCGGAUUAGCUAGUUGGUAGGGUAACGGCCACCAAGGCUACGAUCCGUAACUGGUCUGAGAGGACGACCAGUCACACCGGAACUGAGACACGGUCCGGACUCCUACGGGAGGCAGCAGUGGGGAAUAUUGGACAAUGGGGGAAACCCUGAUCCAGCGACGCCGCGUGGGUGAAGAAGGCCUGCGGGUUGUAAAGCCCUUUCAGUGGGGAAGAAAAGCCUCGACCUAACACGUCGGGGUCUUGACGUAACCCAUAGAAGAAGCACCGGCUAACUCUGUGCCAGCAGCCG